CAUCCUACGGGGGGCAGCAGUGAGGAAUAUUGGUCAAUGGCCGGAAGGCUGAACCAGCCAAGUCGCGUGAGGGACGACUGCCCUAUGGGUUGUAAACCUCUUUUAUAAGGGAAGAAUAAAUGCUACGUGUAGCAUGAUGCCCGUACCUUAUGAAUAAGCAUCGGCUAACUCCGUGCCAGCAGCCGCGGUAAUACGGAGGAUGCGAGCGUUAUCCGGAUUUAUUGGGUUUAAAGGGUGCGUAGGCGGUAUUUUAAGUUAGUGGUAAAACGUCGGGGCUUCACCUUGAUUGGCCAUUAAAACUGGAG
RNAcentral lists this ribosomal RNA (305 nucleotides) under uncultured bacterium. RNAcentral describes it as "bacterial SSU rRNA". It matches the Rfam family "Bacterial small subunit ribosomal RNA", at positions 335 to 638 of the family's 1533-position model. The record is from RNAcentral.